CCUGGUUGGAUUUCAGAACUAGGUCAUCUUCAAUAUCUGAAUCUUUCACGCAAUCUCCUGGUUGAUCUAGAAAGACCUUUGUCUCUUCCUGGUCUUAGCAUCUUAGACCUGCAUCAUAACCAGCUCCGAGGGAGCAUUCCAGUUCCCCCAUCAUUUAUUACCUAUGUGGAUUACUCAAGCAAUAAUUUUUCUUCCUUCAUCCCCCCUAACAUUGCUAAUUACUUCAACUUUACCUUUUUCUUCUCCCUUUCAAAUAAUCGCCUUACCGGAGCAAUACCGCGAUCGAUAUGCAGUACCGAAUGGCUACAAGUUCUUGACUUGUCCAACAACAGUUUGAGUGGAGCAAUACCAUCCUGUUUAAUUGAGAGGAUUAAGACUCUUCGUGUUCUAAAUUUAAGGAGAAACAACUUAAAUGGCAUUAUUCCUGAUAAAUUUCCAAGAAGCUGUGAAUUGAAGACUCUGGAUCUGAGUGGAAACAACUUGCAAGGGCAGGUUCCAAAAUCUCUGGCCAAUUGCAUUAUGUUAGAGGUCUUAGACCUUGGGAACAAUCAAAUCAAUGACAGCUUCCCGUGUCUUCUUAAGAGCAUAUCGAGUUUUCGUGUCCUUGUUCUGCGAAACAACACGUUCUCCGGGCAUAUUGGAUGUCAAGACAUCAAAGGCACUUGGCCAAGGCUUCAGAUUGUCGACCUUGCUUUCAACCAUUUCAGAGGAAAUCUACCUGAUAUUUUCUUGAAAACGUGGGAAGGAAUGAUGGAAGGUGGAAACAGAAACCUUGAGUACAUAAGAUAUGAUCCUAUGGAGCAGACGAAUGGACUGUAUUAUCAAGAUUCAAUUACGGUCACAGUAAAGGGUCUCGAGGUGGAGCUGGUGAAGAUAUUAACUGUCUUUACCUCUGCUGACUUUUCAAGCAACAACUUUGAAGGGCCAAUACCAGAUGUCAUAGGACAGUUCAAUGCCCUCUAUGCUCUCAACUUGUCACAUAAUGUACUCACAGGCCAAAUUCCAUCAUCUUUAGGCAGCCUGUCACAGCUCGAGUCCUUAGACCUCUCAUCUAACCAAUUGUCUGGACAAAUCCCACCACAGCUAGUAAGCCUGGCACUCCUUUCUGUCCUGAAUCUCUCAUAUAACAGGCUAGAGGGUCGGAUCCCAACAGCCAAUCAAUUCGGGACGUUCUCGUCCGAUUCCUUUGAAGGUAACCAAGGAUUAUGCGGGCCUCCAUUAAAUCGAUGCUCCAAUACCAAAGGAUCAAAUUCUACACCAGCAUGCUCCAAUACAUCAAGUUCAGCAUGCUACAAUACCAAUGGAUCAAAUUCUGGUAUAGAGAUUGACUGGAAUUUCUUAUUGGGAUUUAUCUUCGGGCUGGGAAUUGCUAUUCUACCUCUUAUGUUCUGCAAGAGAUGGAGAACAUGGUACUACACACAUGUUAAUCGUGUAAUUUUCAGAAUCUUCCCUCAACUAGAUAAAAGAAGCAAGAAUCUUGGCAGAAGAGCUCAAAGAAACAGAAGAAGGCAGUAACAUUGGUGAAGAAGAUCAAUGCGCGUGGUGAGAGCAUUUGCAAUUAAUAUUUCCUAUGGCUUCUAUUUUAUAUCCUGCUAUAUAUUUUGUUUUGUUUCCCGUUUGUUGACAUUCGCAAUAAGAAGUUUAGUUACAACUUCAGUUUUUAUUCUCUUUGUCCACCAAUUGUAGGUCAUCAAUUAUUCGUCCAAGGGACCUCGCAGUUAUUGGAUAAAUGCGACAGUUUCUUUUGUUUGCUUCGUUUUUGUGACUCUGUAAUAAUAUGCUGUAGCCUGGGCCUGCUUUGAAAUACAAAAUCCUAUGGUUAUGGACAUUGUAAUUUGGUAGUUUUUAAUAUUUUGCAUUGUGAUCUACAUGCAAAUGUUUUUUUAAUCUUAAACAAAUCGAUUUCCUUCCACAGAAACAGCAAUAAAAAUACUCUUUAUUUCAAGAAUAUAAUUUAUUUUAAUUUACAUAUGGCAAAAUUUCUCAAGAAUAAAUUAUACUUGCAUGCUUUAUCAUAUAAAAAAAAUCACAAAAAAUAGUUUAUUUAUUUUACAUGUAGAUUUAAUAACUUUUCUCUGUUUUUUUUUUAAAAGUAGGAUCAUGUUCGGUUAGGAGGUACGUGAAUUUAUUUAAAGGACUAUUAUAGAGUUGAAGAAGGAAAAAAAGGCUUGUUGACUGGUGCUUCUGUGAAGACAGUGCAAGAAGACCCAUCAUAACUAAAGUCUCCCUGUUUCUUAAAUUUUAUGAUCAAUGAUUUUGGUUCAAGAGCACAAAAUUUCUACAGAUUUAAAGCCUAUCAUCGACUAGUCUUUCACAAAUUUUCACCUCCGGAUUGAGCCUUCUAGUCUCUCUACUGUCUAAUAUUCGUGCUCUCUUCAUCCAUUCUGGCUUCCAUCCUUUUAGUUUCAAACUAGUUGACAGGCACAUCCUUUGCUAUGGGUAGAAUUAAUUUUUUUAAAAAAAAUAUAAUAAAAAAUAUUUAGAUCAUGAGAAUUAUAUGAUAUUACCACUAAAUAUGAUUUAAUGGAUCAAUUUUAAAAUCUCUUAGCUCGACUUUUUAUCUAGAUUUUUUUAAAAUUAAAUCAAGUGAAAGUGCUUUAAUGUGACCCAAUCAACUUUAUUAGUUUAAAGACAACUUGAAUGAAUGGUAAGAUAUAUAAAAGGAUGAAAUUGAAAAAAAAAUUGAUAUUAAAAAAUCUCUCAACCCAACACUUUGCCGAUGUUAGGUCAUGUUUGUUUUCCGGAAACUAGUUUUUGGGAAACUAUUUUUUAAGUUUUUUUGUGUUUGUUUGUCAUUAGGAAAAUUGGUCAAUGAAAAACACUUUCCGGUCAACGAAAAAUAUUUUCCAGUCAAAGAAAAAUUUGGCUUGGUUUUCAGGAAAGUGUUUUUCCUUUAGUUGUGUUUAUUUUCAGGAAAGUGGUUUCUAGGAAAUCACUUUCUAAAUUUUCUUGUGUUUGUUUGUCAUUAGAAAUGUUGGUCAAUGGAAAACACUUUCCAGUAAAAGGAAAAUUUAACUUGGUUUUCAGGAAAGUGUUUUCCUGAAAAAUUUGGGGGGAAAACACUUUCUGGAAGUUGUGAAAAAUUUAGAAAUGUCAUUAUUUGCUGAUUAUAUCAAAUUUGAUCCUCAAACUUUUGAUUGCUAUAAAUAUGUUGUUUUGAAUAUUUAUUUUUCAAUUUCAUCUCUUAAAAUUUUAUUUUUAUAUUAACUUUGAUCUUUAUUUUUAUAAUUGCUAUUUGCUUUUUCCUUAUCAUUUUUUUAUUGAAAUUUUUUAUCUAUCAAAUUUGGUCCUCAUUCUUUUGAUUGUUACUUAUUUUAUUUGAAAUAAUUUAUGAAAUGUUGAUUAUUAUUAUUUUAAUUUCUUCAUCUUUCAUUUUUUUUUUAUUUUUUUAGAUUUGAUCUCUAUUAUUUUGAUUAUUAUUUAUUUUAUUUGAGAUAAUUUAUGAAAUUAUAUUUUUUUUCAAUUUCAUUCUCAUUCAACUUUUUAAUUUGUAAGAUUUGUUCCUCAUUAUUUUAAUAAACUUGAGAAAAAUAAAAUAUUAAUAAGUUAUUUUCCAGCUCAUUUUCCAUGACAUAACCAAACAAUGGAAAAUGUUUUCCAACUUAUUUUUCAUUACAUUACCAAACAUCGAAAAAUACUUUCUCAGAAUUCACUUUCCAAAAGGAAACUACUUUCCAGCAAACAAACGGGGCCUUAGUUUAAAAUUAAAUUGUAUGGAAGUUAUCCCAACGUGAUCUAAUCGACUUGGUCAAUUCAAACGUAACUUUGCUAACCAGUAAAAAAAAAUGAGGAUGAGAUUGAAAAAAAAGAAGAUGAAAUUAACAUAAAAAAACUCUAGAUUAAAUUUUUUGUUUAGUCCGAAUUUAAAAUUAAAUCAUGUGGAAUGUGAUAUGAUCUAGUUGACUUGGAUAUUUUAAAAGCAACUCAAAAGGCUGUUAAAAAAGCUUGAGGAUAAAAUUGAAACUGAAAAAAGGAAGGGGAGGAAUGAAAAGAAAACGAAAAAAAGAGAGGGGUGAAUUGAAAAAAAAGAGAAGAAAAAAUGGAAACUUUUUGUUUAUGGACCUUCACUCUAUAUAUAUAUACUAGCUUUGAUACCCGCGCGAUGCCGCGGGUAAUUUUUUUUUGUAUAAAAAAUAUUUUAAAAAAUAAAAAUUAAAAAAUCUUGGGUUUUUCUGCAAAGUUAUACCCAAUAAUCUUGGGUUUGGCUGCAACGCCUGACCUAAGAGUAAUAUUUAUAAUAUUAUUAAUAAAAUUAAACUUGCAUGACCCAAGUUUAAGUGAGCUUGACUGGAACACCAGACUCAAGAAUAUUGGAUGUGGGUCUGGCUAUAAGGUCGUGUCAUCAAAGUGUGAUAAUUAAAUAGAUUAAUUAAAAAAAUAAAGAAAAAAAUCAACAGAAAGGAAAAAACCUCAUGAAGAAAAAGAAAAAGAAGUUGAAUUAAUUGGGUUAACCCUUUAAACCAGGUUAUUCCGUAAAACCUGAGAUUUGUGUCGUGAAAGUUUGAUAACUAAAUAGAAAAUAAAAAUGACGGGUUUACCCAGAAUUAACCGGGUUAACCCAUCAAACCAAGUUAACCCGUCAAGCCUAGGAUACGUAAAUAGAAAAUUAACUUUAACAAACUAAACUAAAUGAAAAAAAUAACUCGUUAAAUCAUGUUAACUCAUCAAACCUGAGAUUCGUAUCAUGAAAAUAUAAUAACUAAAUAAAAAAAAAUUAACAUUAACAAAAUAAAUCAAACAAAAAAAAUUCAUUAAAAAAGAAUUAAAAAGAAAAAACAAAAGAAAAAAACAGUCAUAUACUAUAAUACAAUAUAAUAAUAAUUAUAAUGAAAAAACAUGGGGAAAGCUAAAUUCUCAACCAACUCAAUAUUAAAAAAAUAAAUUUAACAAAGAUAUUUUAAAAAAUAAACAUGUGGGGAAAAGACUGCAGCCAAACAAAAAUCAUGCAAGGGAAACACUGUAGUAAUCCAUAGUGUUUUUUUUUUUCUUUUUGAAAAAAACUACAAAGCUAAGUUCUCAACCAGCUUAAUAUAGAAAAAAAAAACCGAGAUCCGUGUAAUGAAAAUAUGAUAACUAAAUUAAUUUUUUUGUUCACAUUAACAAACUAAAUUAAAGAAAAAAAAUCAUUAAAAGAAAAAAAGACACAAAGAAAAAAGCAAAAAAAAAACCCAUGGGUAAAAAAAAAAAAAAGUCAAGUGUUUCACUGUGUGCACAGUGAUACAUUAUAUGUAAAAAACAGAAGAAACAAAAGCGAGGAAAAAAAAAGCUGCUACAGUGAAAAACCCACGCGUUAAAAAAAAUUGCUACAGUGAAAAAACAAUUUUUUUUUUAAAAAAGGAAAAACUGCUACAGAAAAAAAAACCAAAAACAAAAAGAAAAAUGCCACAGAAGAAAAAAUGAAAAAAAAAAAUUAGAGUUCUUAUUAAUAAAUAAAUAAAUUUAACAAAAAUAAUUUAAAAAAUAAACAUGUGGGGGAAAUACUGCAGCCAAACAAAAAUCAUGCAAGGGAAACACUAUAGUAAUCCAUAGUAUUUGUUUUUUUUUUUUUUGAAAAAAGCUACAAAGCUAAGUUCUUAACCAGCUUAAUAUAGAAAAAAAACCGAGAUCCGUGUAAUGAAAAUAUGAUAACUAAAUUAAAAAAAAAAUUUCACAUUAACAAACUAAAUUAAACAAAAAACAAUUCAUUAAAAGAAAAAAAAACACAAAGAAAAAAGCAAAAACAAAAAACCCAUGGGUAAAACGAAAAAAAAAACAAAAAAAAAAGUCAAGUGUUUCACUAUGUGCAUAGCGAUACAUUAUAUGUAAAAAACAGAAGAAACAAAAGGGAGAAAAAAAAAAAACAAAGCUGCUAUAGUGAAAAACCCAAGCGUUAAAAAAAAAACAUGUAAAAAAACAAAAACAAAAAAAGGAAAAACUGCUACAGAAAAAAAAAACCAAAAAAAAAAAUUGCAGGAAAUUUGUUUUUUUAACAAAGAUAAUUUAAAAAAUAAACAUGCGAGGGAAAGACUGCAGCCAAACAAAAAUCAUGCAAGGAAAACAAUGUAGUAAUCCAUGGUGUUUUUUUUUUUCUUUUUGAAAAAAGCUACAAAGCUAAGUUCUCAACCAACAUAAUAUAGAAAAAAAAAACCGAAAUCCAUGUAAUCAAAGUAUGAUAACUGAAUUAAAAUUUUUUUUUCACAUUAACAAACUAAAUUAAACAAAAAAGAAAGUCAAGUGUUUAACUGUGUACACAGUGAUACAUAAAACAGAAGAAACAAAAGCGAGGAAAAAAAAAAACAAAGCUGCUACAGUGAAAAAUCCACGCGUUAAAAAAAACAUGUAAAAAAAAACAAAAAAAAGGAAAAACUGCUACAGAAAAAAAAAAACCAAAAACAAAAAAAAUGCUAGAAAAAAAAAUACAGCUUUAAUUACAGUGAAAAAGCUACGCGUUUUAGUAUAUUACUUAAUUAUAAUAUAAUAAUAUAAUUAUAAUUAUUAUUAUAUAUAUAUAUAUAAGUAUAAUUAAAAGGCGUGGGGAAGCUACAGUGCUUUCCCCACACCUUUUAGAGUUCUUUAAUAGUCUAAAAAACUCAUUUUUUUAACAUUUCAAAUUCAAGAUCAAAAACCCAAUCCAAGCUCAUUUGUAUUUUUUUUUUCAAUAGUAGAUAUAAAGAUAAAUUUAUACAUAAAGGUUUUUUUUUUUUUUUUAUGUUACCAGAUAUCAAAACUUAUGCAUUAUGAGUUUUUCAUUGUCUAAAUCGAUGUCAUUUAGUUUUUUUUUAUUGCUAGAAUCUAUUGACUCCCUCUCUCUGCUCUUUCUAACUAAAAACUAAACAUGAAGAAAAUCAACUUCUAGACCAAAAUUAAAAUGUCAAAAAAGAAAGGGACUGAAAAGAAAAGGAUUGAAAAGUAUAAGGAUGAAAUCAAUUUUUCACAAAAACUUUAAAGGUGCCACCAAGUUUUGUUAUCAUUUUCACUUUGGUCCCUUAUUUUUUAAUUUUUCCCUUGCUCAACAAAUAAGAGUUAAUUGACCACAAGAAGAUUGGAUUGAGGAGGGAAAAAAACUUUGAUUACCAAAAUGGAAAAAAAAAAUCACUAUUUGACUGUGUAUAUAGCAUGUGAGAAACAAUAUUAUCCCAACCAAGUGGGAUGUGGAUCGAAUGAUUUUCUGGAUAUGGAAGGGGUUAUGGUGUAGCUGGGCCUUCAUUCUCUAGAUUUCUACUGGCUGUUAGGACAUCAAAUUUCUCCAAAUUCUGUGGCCCAUAAUUGCGUGACUGGGCAGCAACUAUUUCAAUUAUUGCCUCGUUUCCAAUUCUUUCUUGCCCGAGAACACAAUAUGCGCUCCAGCCGCAUCUUCGUAACUUCAAAUACCUGGAUUGGUUAUAGUUUCUCCUAAUGUUAUUAUUGGUUUGGUUUUUAUAUAUAUAAAUAAUAAUAAUAAUAAUAAUUAAAUUAAAAUUAUUAAAAAAAAAACCAAACUGAAACCAGUUCAAACCGACCGGUUUAGGUUUGGUUUUUUAGAACAAAAACCGGUUCAAACCGGUUUAGCUCGAUUUUUUUAUUUUUGGUUCGGUUUGGUUUUUAUAAAAAAAAUAAUCAAACUAAAAUUAUUUAUUAAAAAAACAAACCGAAACCGGUUCAAAUCAACUGGUUUCAGUUCAGUUUUUUAAAAUAAAAACUGUUCAAAUCAAUUUGACUCAAUUUUUUUUCAAUUUGGCUUGAUUGUUUUUCCAGUUUUUUUUUAUUUGGAUUCGAUUUGGUCGGCUUAUAAACCAAAACCGACCAAUUAGUUUUUUUAAAAUUCUAACUAAUUUUUUUUUAUGAAUUCGUUUUUUCAAUUAUUUUUAUUCUAAUUUUCUUAAUUUAAUUAGUUUUUUAACUGCCUUCUAAUUGAAUUGCUUUAUUUCGAUGAGAGCCACGAGAAGGAAUGAGGGAUACAUUACAGAGGGCUUGUGGGGCCACCAUGCGGGCCGGCCAGGUACCGGUAAGUUUAAUAUAGAAGAAGGAGCUGUUGCCUAGUUUAGAAGCGGCUGAUAGACAGCCCACUGUAGGUGUUAUUCAAUUACGAGGAAUUUUGAGACAGCCCACUGGUCUCAUCCAGCAAGAAAUGCUUCAAUCUACUGUCUACUUUCCUCUGAAUGUUAUUCUUCUUGUAUUUUUAUUAAGAAUUUAUUUUAUUUGAUUAAGAAUAUUUUUGAAAUUGAGGUUAUAAAAUAAUUUUAAAAAAUACAUAUUAAUAUUUAUGAUUUUUAAUUUAAAUAUUAUAGAUUUAAUUAUUGUUGUUAUAUCAUAAAAUAAAUCAUACUUUAUAUAAUUUUUUUUAUUGUUCCAUUAAAUUAUCUACAAUUCCAUUACAUACAAAAUUCAUUCGACAAGAACUACAGUUUUCAAGAUUUUUUGAGCGUGCAAUAAAAUUAGAUAAAAUAUUAUCAAGAUUCAGAAUUGAGAUUACAGUACUAAUAAAUUUAAUUCAUCUUAAAUUAAUUUUUUAAAAAAACAAAAAAAAUUAUUGUUCAUGUUCACGUAAACAGAACGAGCGAAAUCAAUUAACUGCCUUGAUUUUUCAAAAAUAAAAAACUAUUCACUAAAAUGAACAGUACAACAAUAAUGACAUGCUGCACUGUCCACUGAACAUUCAUUGGACAGUGCAACAUGGUACACCCGCAAGAAGCAACCUACUUUAUUUUUCCAUGCGUUUUAAAUGCAAAAGUUUGUGGGAUCUAUAAACAGUAACCUAUGUUAUUUUUAUAAUUAAAUGUUGUUGCAUCUGCGUUUACUUCUUAGACAAACACUGGUAAUUAAGAAAUGCUUCGAUCUACCGUCUACUUUCCUCUGAACGUUAUUCUUCUUGUACUUUUGUUCUAUAUGCCAGGAAUUUUGUGCUGGGAAUGCUUUGUUUAUCAUUUUCAGGUAGGAGGUAGGUGUGAAAAGGAAGAGGAGCCUUCUUGACUGGUGAAGAUAGUGCAAGAAGACGGGGACCAACACCAUAACUAAGCCUCCCUUUUCCUCCAGUGUUCCGGUCAAAGAUGGUGGCGUUUUCAGUAAUCAGGAGGACAGAAUUUCUGCAGAUAUUAAAGUGCAACUAUGGACUUGAGGGCAAAGAACAGUAUUUAGUGUGUGGAUUUCCCACCAACCUACAGGCUCACAAGUUUUCCCCAUGUAUGGAUCCUUCAUGCCUUGCUGCUUCAAUGUUUCAUGAUAACAGUUGAAAAUACGAUCAAUUUUUUUUUUUUUUUUUCUAAAAAAACCAAAUUACAAAAGUGAUAAAUGCCAUCCCUCCUAGCGUUGCAUCCUGCGGUCGAUCUACCUUCUGUGUUUCUUCACUAAUUUAUGUAUGAUCUGUGAGUGAAGACGAGUUAUAGCAAGCCAAUGCAUGCUUGAUUCUAUGUGCAGAUAAGAUUAUUCCCUUAAUGCUCACAGCUAGAAACUAAUUAGAGUGAGCACUGACAGCCCUUCUAGAAGGAAGAUUUUUUUUAAAAUGGAUCACUUUCAUUGAUACAUUCAACAGGUUAAUUGUGGCAGAAAAAAGUGAACUUCAAGGUCCGUUUUCUGUCCCACUGGCAGCUGGUUUUCUUUCUAUCCAUUCUCCAUUUCCCACUUCAGUAGAAUUCCAAUCCAUCGAUCACUUCAUGUGAGCAUGCCGUACUUCCUAUGGAGUAGACGAGCUAUGUUUGCGAGACUGAUUGAACAAAUAAUUUUUUUUAGGAAUAUUUUUAUUGGUAAAUUGCUAAUAGAAUUCACCGAUAGAAAUAUUUUUUAUGUAUUUAUUGAGGGAAUUAUAAUAAAAAAAAAAAUUAAAAUAAAGUAAAAAAAAAAUGACGUGUCAUUUUUACCAAUAAAAUUAUCGAUGAAAUUUAUUUUGUCGGUAUAAUCCGUCGGUAAAUUCGUUGGUAAAUUGUGAACAUUGUUUAUCAUAUCAAUUACAAAGGGAAUCACCAACAAAAAAUUUUCUCGGUAUUUUCCAGAGAGCUCUAGAACUGUUCACUUUUCAAUUGCACUGUUAAUUAAUGAUCUUUACAAACAAAAUCACUGACGGAUUAAAAAGUCAUCGAUAUUAUUUGAUGGUUUUCAGAAAAAUCUUAAUUAAAUUAAAAUUUUAAAUUAAAUAUUACAGACGGAAUCACAAACGGAUUGAAAAGUCGUUGUUGAUAUUUGGAGAUUUCUGAAAUUUUUUUAUUAAAUUAAAUUUUACAAACGGUAUCACCGACUUAAUAUUUAAUUAUCCAUCAGUAAAACACCCAAAUAAAAAAUCUAGAAUCUAUAAUUUCACAAUAAACAUAGCUCCUUUCUUCUUCUUCUUCUUCUUCAUAUGUAAAAAACAUCAAUAUUCAUUUCUUAUUCUUAUCUUCUCUCCUCAACUUGUUCUCUUUUCCUUCAUGCUAAGGUAUGUAUUCUUCUCAUUUCUUCUAUUUUCUCAGUUUUUUUUUUUAAUUAAUAUGCUUUAUAAUUUUUUUUCUCUUCUUAGCUUCACUUGCAACCACAUUAAGGUAAGAUUUUGUUUUUUUCACUAUAUUUGUUUUUUUUAUUUUUAAUUAUUUUUGUUCUUAAUAAUUGUAUGAAUAUUGUUAUAGGAUUUUUUUUCAUAUGAUUUUCUUAUUUUUUUUCCCUAGCGUUUUGAGUAUUACGUAGUAUUGAUUUAUAAUAAUUUAAUUAUUUUAUGGUUUUGUAAAAUAGAUUUUUAAAUUAACAUUUGAGCAAGAAUUAAUCACGCGUUAUUACAAGUGCAGUGACUGAAUACAAGGAUUCAGAGGAAGUUAAUUUUGUUAUUUGGCUUAAUUAAUAUCAUCCUUAACCUUUAAUUUUCGAGUGCUAUUUGUGCUUAAACUUCGUAUUGUUUAGUUAUGUGACAGAGUUAGUACGAAAAUAAAGCUAUGAAUAAAACACUAGAUUUAAUACAAAUAAUUUUCUUUCAUUGACUCCCUAGUCUCCAGGAGCCCAAGUCAAUGAGUUUAAAUGUCAUCUACGCAAAGUGUUCAUGUCCCCCCACCUCCAUAAUUAUCAAAGAUGUUAAAGACAGACGAAGAUGUAUACCACCCUUAUACACGGUAAAAAGAAUAGAAAGAUAAUUAUAUAGGUGGUGGUCAGUGGUAAAAUUUUGGAAUUAAAAAGUUUGUUCAUUAUAUGGUUUCAGGUUCGAGUCCUGUAAACUGUAGUUGCUUAUAUGAUGACUACUGAAAGCUUAUAUUGUCAUUAACUUCAAAACCUGUAAAAUUAAUCGAGGUACGCGCAAACUGAUCAAAAAAAAAAAAAGACAAAUAGGAUCCUCCCAUCGACUCUCGAGGCUCCAAUACUCAAAGCAAAUAGGACCCUCCACCAUUAUUAUCGUGGAUGUUACUUGCAAGAGGCUUGAUGAAAUGAUUUGGAAUUUGAUUUUGACAUCAUUUUAAAUUGAAGUGAUAAGAUAAUGUGUUAAUUUUAAAAUUAUUUUUUUAUACUAUUUUCAAAAAACUCAUUAUAAAUUAAGAGUUUAUUAUAAACACAUUAAAUCAAAAUCUAUAAAAACAAAUAGCUCAACUAAGAUUUUAUCAAUUUAAAUUUGAUUUGUUUGAUUAUAACAAAUGUAAAACUAUGAAUUUAGUUCAAUUCAUUUUAAAAUUUAUAUAAAAAAAUAAUUUGUUUUAAUUAUUUAAUCCAUACCAACUAAUUAAAAGAGAUAUUUAUAGCCGUUGCAGUUUAAAAUAUAUAUUUAAAAUAUUUUUUUUUAAUUUUUUAAAAAUUAUUUUUAUAUUAAUAUAUUAAUAUAAUUUUAAAAAAUAAUUUUAAAUUUUUAAAAAACACCGUGUUCCUAGAAACUGCCAGAAUUGAAACCAUACUGGCCUCAAUUUUUCUCGGUCAAAAAAAGAAUGCAUUGAAAAGUCUUCAAGUCAAGCGAAAAUCACAGCCAAAUAGAAUCAUUUACUGCAUGUUUUAAAGUACGGUACCACGCAAAAGAGAGAAACUUCAUCCAUGCAAACAAUCCACUUGACAAUGAAAAUUCCUCUUUUUACUUUGUUUUUCUUCAUGCCCCUUCUAACGAUGCUCUCCGGCAUCAACACAGGUCUGGUUUAUAUUUGGCUGUGAUUUUAUUCUUUGUUAAUGAGUUUUUUUAUAUAUAAUUAGUUAAAUUUUAUUACAAUUCAAUUUUACUAUACAAAUUUAUAUUAUAAAAAAUAUAAUUUUGAUAAUAUUGAGGGAGAUGUAUACCACCCUAAUACAUGGUAAAAAGAAUAGAAAGGCAAAUAGAAUCCUCCCAUUAACUCUCUAGGCUCCAAUAGUCAAAGCAAAUAGGACCCUCCACCAUUAUUAUCAUGUUAAGCUUGCAAGAGGCGUUCCUGGAAAGUGCCAGAAUUGAAACCAUACAAAAAAAAAAAGAAUGCAUUGAAAAGUCUUCAAGUCAAGCAAAAAUCACAUCCAAAUACAUUCAUUGACUGCAUGUUUUAAAGUACGGUACCACGCAAAAGAGAGAAACUUCAUCCAUGCAAACAUUUAAUGAAAAUUCCUCUCUUUACUUCAUCAUAGCUAAGUCUCCCUUUUUCUCAAGUUUUAUGAUCAAUGAUGUUGGUUCAAUAGCACAAAAUUUCUACAGAUUUAAAGCCUAUCGUCCACUAUUCUUUAACAAAUUUUCCACCAACCUCAUUUAAAAUGUGGACUUUCCACCAACCUCAUAAUAGUCUUUCACAAAUUUUCACCUCUGCAUUGAUCCUUCAAGUCUCUCUACUGUUUAAUAUUAGUUCAAAAACAACCUGAUCAAAUGAUAAAAAAAAUAAAAUUAUAAAGAUAAAAUUGACAUUAAAAAACCUCCCAACUCAAAACUUUAUUAAUGUUAGUUUAAAAUUAAAUUAUAUGAUAAUUACCUCAACAUGAUCCAGUCGACUUAGUUGGUCCAAAGGUAACCUUACUAACCAGUAAAUCAAAUUAAGAAUAAGAUUGGUAAAAAAAAGAGGAUGAAAUUAACAAAAAAACCUCUAGAUUCAAUUUCUUGCCUGACCUAACUUUAAAAUUAAAUUAUAUGAACUAUUAUUUUGAUAUAAUGUAGUCGACUUGAAUGGUUUAAAAACAGCUCGAAAAGCUAUAAAAAAAGUAGGAUAAAAUUGAGGAAAAAAGAACAAAAUUAAAAAAAAAGGGGAUAAAUGAAAAAGAGAGAGGCCGAAUUGAAUAAAUAAAAAAAGAAGCUUUUUGUUUAUGGACCUUCACUUUAUAUACGAGUCUAAAAAACCUUUUUUUUUAGAUUUUAAAGUCAAGACCAAAAAGCCCAAUCCAAGCUCAUUUGUAUUUUUUUUUCAAUAAUAAACAUAAGGAUAAAUUUACUAUCUUUAAGUUCAUAAAGGUUUUUUUUUUUUUUUUUACUGGAUAUCAAAACUUAUGCAUUAUGAGUUUUGAUUUUUGAAAUCUAUGAAAGUGAAAUUUACAAAAAUGUGUCCGUGAUUGGAAUUGAAUCUCAUUGAUUUAGAAUUAGAAAAAAAUAUUCGGUGUAAUAAGUUUGACUUUAAUAACUUCAAUUUACUUUACUAUUAUUAUGUAAAGGCUUACCAUAUUUUUUUUUGGGGGGGGGGGGGAAUUAAAAAGAUCUUGAGAUACACAAUAAAAGUAACAAUUCCUUCCUCGUUAUAUUGCAAAUCAUUGGUACUUGAAUUUAAUAAAAAGAAAAUUAUUGAAUAUAAAACUGUUAGACCAAACUUAUAGGGAUUAAAGUGAACUUUACAGUUUUAGGUCCAAUUGAAUUUGCUUUAUAGGGAUUAAAGUGAACUUUACAGUUUUACAUGGUAAAUGACCAUUGUGGUUGAUGCAGAUAUUUCUUGAGUUUUGUUAAUGAUUUUUUUAAAAAAUUAUUUUUUAUUUAGAAUUAAAUAUAUUAAAAUAAUUUUUUUUAUUUUUAAUUAUUUUUUUUUACAUUAAUAUAUCAAAAUAAUUCAAAAAUUUAAAAAAAUUAUUUUAAACUAAUUUAUUUUUCAAAUUUUAACAUAAAAAAAAACACAGAUUAAAUCAAAAUCCAUAAAAACAAAUAGCUCAACUAAGAUUUUAUCAAUAUAAAUUUGAUUUAUUUGAUUAUAACAAAGGUAAAAGGAUGAAUUUAGUUCAAUUCAUUUUAAAAUUUAUAUAAAAAAAUAAUUUGUUUUAAUUACUUAAUCCAUACCAACUAAUUAAAAGAGAUAUUUAUAUCGGUUGUAGUUUAAUAUAUAUUUUUUAAAAAAUAUAUAAUAUCAAAAAUAAUUUUUUUAAAAUAAAAAAAAUAAUUUUAAAUUUUUUAAAAACACCAUGUUCGUAAAAACUGCCAGAAUUGAAACCAUAAUACUCAGCCUCAAGUCUUCAAGUCAAGCUAAAAUCACAGCCAAAUAGAAUCUUUUACUGCAUGUUUUAAAGUACGGUACCACGCAAAAGAGAGAAACUUCAUCCAUGCAAACAAUCCACUUGACAAUGAAAAUUCCUCUCUUUACUUUGUUUUUCUUCAUGCCCCUUCUAACGAUGCUCUCCUGCAUCAACACAGGUCUGGUUUCUGGCCAGUGCCGGAAAGAUCAGCAAUCCUUGUUACUCCAAUUAAAGAACACUCUCGUGUAUGAUCAAUCUUCAUCUGCAACACUGGUGAAGUGGAAUUCCACAGAUUGCUGCGAGUGGCCAGGCAUAACUUGUGAUGAGGGUAGCGGUCGUGUUAUCAGCCUGGACUUGAGCUUCGAAUAAAUCACUGGUGGACUUGACGAUCCAAGCGCGCUUUUCAGUCUUCAAUUUCUUCAGAGUCUAAACUUGUCUUUCAACAGCUUCGACACAGCUCUGCCAGUCGGGUUUGCCAACCUCACGGAUUUGAUUUCACUGAAUUUGUCCAGUGCUGGCUUUACAGGCCAGAUUCCAAAUGAUUUCUCAAAGCUGACAAAGUUGGUCAGUCUUGAUUUGUCUGCCAUUUCCUUACCUGGAGGUCCUGCACUAAAACUCGAGAAGCCUAAUUUUGCGACAAUGGUUCAAAAUCUCACAAACCUAACAGAGCUCCUUCUUGAUGGUGUUAAUAUAUCAGCACACGGCAAUGACUGGUGCAAGGCCUUAUCUUCUUCACUGCCUAAGUUAAAAGUGCUGAGCAUGUCCAACUGCUAUCUUUCGGGUCCUCUUGAUGCUUCCCUUGCAAAGCUUCAGUCUCUUUCAAUAAUUCGUUUGAGCGGUAAUAAUUUGUCUGCUCCAGUUCCAGAAUUCCUUGCAAGUUACUCGAAAUUGACUGCCUUGCAGCUCAGCUCUUGCCAGUUGAACGGUAUAUUUCCACAAGCUAUAUUCCAGGUACCAACACUAGAGAUCCUUGACUUGCAAUACAACAAAUUCCUUCAGGGUUCUUUUCCGGAGUUCCAUCAGAAUCUCUCUCUUCGGACCCUCCUGCUCAGUAACACAAAUUUUUCGGGAACCUUAUCACAGUCCAUUGGUGAACUCCAGAAAUUAUCCAGAAUAGAGCUAGCGGCAGCGGGAAACAGCUUCACGGGACCAAUUCCAAAUUCAAUGGCUAAUCUCACCAAGCUGUUUUAUCUGGACUUGUCAUCCAACAACUUCACAGGCACACUCCCAUCAUUCCGCAAGUCCAAGAAUCUCACCUAUGUAGAUGUCUCUCACAAUCAACUAACAGGUGAGAUUCCAUCCAGUCACUGGGAAGGCGUUCGAAGCCUCACCUAUGUUGAUUUAGGGUACAAUGUAUUCAGCGGGAGCAUCCCCUCAUCGUUGUUUGCAAUCCCGUCGCUGCAGAGGAUACAGCUUGCCAACAACAGAUUUGGGGGACAGAUUCCUGAGUUUCCAAACGUGUCUUCCUCUCUUUUGGAUACCCUGGAUUUGAGCAGCAACAAAUUAGAAGGUCCUAUUCCCAGUUCUGUUUUUGGUCUUGCAAAACUCCAUGUCCUUGAACUUUCAUCCAAUAAGCUCAACGGCACGUUGCAAUUACAUUGGAUUCAGAAACUUCCCAAUCUCCACACACUUGGCCUCUCGUACAACAACUUGACAGUUUAUGCAAGUGGCGGCAAUUCCAACAUGUCUUCCCUUCCCCAUAUCAAGAAACUAAGAUUGGCUUCUUGCGACCUUGGAAUGUUUCCAGAUCUAAGGAACCAAUCAAAACUCUUCGAUUUAGAUCUUUCAGACAACCAAAUUACUGGGCUGGUACCUGGUUGGAUUUCAGAACUAGGUCUUCUUCAAUAUCUGAAUCUUUCACGCAAUCUCCUGGUUGAUCUAGAAAGACCUUUGUCUCUUCCUGGUCUUGGCAUCUUAGACCUGCAUCAUAACCAGCUCCAAGGGAGCAUUCCAGUUCCUCCAUCAUUUAUUACCUAUGUGGAUUACUCAAGCAAUAAUUUUUCUUCCUUCAUCCCUCCUAACAUUGGUA
RNAcentral lists this long non-coding RNA (16294 nucleotides) under Populus tremula. RNAcentral describes it as "long non-coding RNA (PTRE_LNC001252)". Lineage: Eukaryota; Viridiplantae; Streptophyta; Magnoliopsida; Malpighiales; Salicaceae. The record is from RNAcentral.